Lemur catta (Ring-tailed lemur) is the source of this 559-nucleotide long non-coding RNA. RefSeq lists it as uncharacterized. NCBI's taxonomy places the organism in Eukaryota, Metazoa, Chordata, Mammalia, Primates, Lemuridae. The record is from RefSeq and is a predicted model, not a curated record. The transcript is spliced from 2 exons.
UUCACUGCCCGGUGAUGGAAACCACCCAAGAACAUCAAGGUUGUGGCAGCUGAACCAAGCUGAAGCCCUCCUUGGGUCAUCAGGUGGUAAUGGGGACAAGAUCUGUAAAACAGAGGCCUGGACUAGAUGAUCCCUAAAACCCUCCCGCCUCAACAACCAUUCGCUGCUAGUGUCUUAUUCGCAUCCUCUUCACACCUGAGUGCAACGGCCACCACACACCCUCAACAAACGUUGUUGAGCACCUGACGGGGUCUCGGCACAUCACCAGAGCCCAACCUGCUGACCGAGUGAUGGUGGUAACCCAGGAAGUUCCUCCCUCAGCCUCUCCACAGCCCUUCCUGUGGGGUGUUUGGGGCCCAGCUGCAACUCCAGCCCUCAUUCCACACUCCACCUUCAGUCCCUGCUUGCCCCGGGCCAUCUUACAGUGUAAAGUGACCAUGAGAGAGGACUGCCAAGCGGGUGAGAGGGCAGGUUCUGUGUCAGUCCCCUUAGGUUUGACUGUGCUUCUUCUAUUACCUUGGAUGUGUUACUUCUAUAUUUUAUUCUACAAGUUUUAUGA